RNAcentral lists this ribosomal RNA (468 nucleotides) under uncultured bacterium. Its description in RNAcentral is "partial 16S ribosomal RNA". It matches the Rfam family "Bacterial small subunit ribosomal RNA", at positions 28 to 507 of the family's 1533-position model. The record is from RNAcentral.
GAUGAACGCUGGCGGCGUGCUUAACACAUGCGAGUCGAACGGUGAAGGCGGAGCUUGCUCUGCUGGAUCAGUGGCGAACGGGUGAGUAACACGUGAGCAAUCUGCCCCUGACUCUGGGAUAAGUGCUGGAAACGGCGUCUAAUACUGGAUACGAGCUGCGAAGGCAUCUUCAGCAGCUGGAAAGAAUUUCGGUCAGGGAUGAGCUCGCGGCCUAUCAGCUUGUUGGUGAGGUAAUGGCUCACCAAGGCGUCGACGGGUAGCCGGCCUGGGAGGGUGACCGGCCACACUGGGCCUGAGACACGGCCCAGACUCCUACGGGGGGCAGCAGGGGGGAAUCUUGCACAAUGGGCGCAAGCCUGAUGCAGCAACGCCGCGUGAGGGAAGACGGCCUUCGGGUUGUAAACCUCUUUUAGCAGGGAAGAAGCGAAAGUGACGGUACCUGCAGAAAAAGCGCCGGCUAACUACGUG